RNAcentral lists this ribosomal RNA (631 nucleotides) under uncultured soil bacterium. Its description in RNAcentral is "bacterial SSU rRNA". It matches the Rfam family "Bacterial small subunit ribosomal RNA", at positions 17 to 647 of the family's 1533-position model. The record is from RNAcentral.
UCCUGGCUCAGAAUGAACGCUGGCGGCGUGCUUUACACAUGCAAGUCGAGCGAGGCGGCCCGCAAGGGUCAGUCGAGCGGCGAACGGGUGAGUAACGCGUGGAUUAUCUGCCCUGAGGUGGGGAACAACCAGGGGAAACUCUGGCUAAUACCGCAUGAUACCGUGAGGUCAAAGGGGGCUCGCAAGGGCUCUCGCCACAGGAGGAGUCCGCGUUCGAUUAGCUAGUUGGCAGGGUAAUGGCCUACCAAGGCGACGAUCGAUAGCCGGCCUGAGAGGGUGAUCGGCCACACUGGAACUGAGACACGGUCCAGACUCCUACGGGAGGCAGCAGUGGGGAAUUUUGCGCAAUGGGCUAACGCCUGACGCAGCAACGCCGCGUGGAGGAUGAAGGUCUUUGGAUUGUAAACUCCUGUCAGCGGGGAAAAAGCAACCGUACCUCAUACGUGCGGAAGUUGAUUGUACCCGCAGAGGAAGCCCCGGCUAACUCUGCGCCAGCAGCCGCGGUAAUACAGAGGGGGCAAGCGUUAUUCGGAAUUAUUGGGCGUAAAGGGCGCGUAGGCGGCUUGGCAAGUGGAAGGUGAAAUCCCUCGGCUUAACCGAGGAACUGCCCUCCAAACUGCUUUGCUUGAGG